AUUGAACGCUGGCGGCAGGCCUAACACAUGCAAGUCGAGCGAGCGGCGGACGGGUGAGUAAUGUAUGGGGACUGCCCGAUAGAGGGGGAUAACUACUGGAAACGGUGGCUAAUACCGCAUACUAUCGGAUAACCCAUAUGGGAUUAGCUAGUAGGUGGGGUAAAGGCUGACCUAGGCGACGAUCUCUAGCGGGUCUGAGAGGAUGCUCAGCAACACGGGGACUGCGACACGGCCCAGACUCCUACGGAGGCAGCAGUGGGGAAUAGUGCACAAAGGGCGCAAGCCUGCUGCAGCCAUGCCGCGUGUAUGAAGAAGGCCGUAGGGUUGUAAAGUACUUUCAGCGGGGAGGGGUUACCCGCAGAAGAAGAACCGGCUAACUCCGUGCCAGCAGCCGCGGUAAUUC
RNAcentral lists this ribosomal RNA (403 nucleotides) under uncultured bacterium. Its description in RNAcentral is "partial 16S ribosomal RNA". It matches the Rfam family "Bacterial small subunit ribosomal RNA", at positions 29 to 526 of the family's 1533-position model. The record is from RNAcentral.